UGAUGCAGCGACGCCGCGUGAGGGAUGACGGCCUUCGGGUUGUAAACCUCUUUCAGCAGGGACGAAGCGAAAGUGACGGUACCUGCAGAAGAAGCACCGGCCAACUACGUGCCAGCAGCCGCGGUAAUACGUAGGGUGCGAGCGUUGUCCGGAAUUACUGGGCGUAAAGAGCUCGUAGGCGGUUUGUCGCGUCGUCUGUGAAAUCCCGCAGCUCAACUGCGGGCUUGCAGGCGAUACGGGCAGACUCGAGUACUGCAGGGGAGACUGGAAUUCCUGGUGUAGCGGUGAAAUGCGCAGAUAUCAGGAGGAACACCGGUGGCGAAGGCGGGUCUCUGGGCAGUAACUGACGCUGAGGAGCGAAAGCGUGGGUAGCGAACAGGAUUAGAUACCCUGGUAGUCCACGCCGUAAACGGUGGGCGCUAGGUGUGGGUUUCCUUCCACGGGAUCCGUGCCGUAGCCAACGCAUUAAGCGCCCCGCCUGGGGAGUACGGCCGCAAGGCUAAAACUCAAAGGAAUUGACGGGGGCCCGCACAAGCGGCGGAGCAUGUGGAUUAAUUCGAUGCAACGCGA
This 570-nucleotide ribosomal RNA is filed under the name Rhodococcus rhodochrous. Its description in RNAcentral is "bacterial SSU rRNA". It matches the Rfam family "Bacterial small subunit ribosomal RNA", at positions 384 to 964 of the family's 1533-position model. The record is from RNAcentral. Lineage: Bacteria; Bacillati; Actinomycetota; Actinomycetes; Mycobacteriales; Nocardiaceae.